Molecule: long non-coding RNA, 2029 nt
Filed under: Homo sapiens (human)
Lineage: Eukaryota; Metazoa; Chordata; Mammalia; Primates; Hominidae
Description: novel transcript
Source: RNAcentral
GGAUGUUGUGAACCGGGUCGCGGCGGCCGAGGCUCGGGCCUCCAGGACCACUGGCUGCCCAUGAGAGACGAAGGAUGGCAUCCAAGGGGGCCGGCGUGUCUUUCUCCCGCAAGAGCUGUAGGCUGACCUCAGAUGCUGAGAAAUCCAGGGUCACAGGGACCCGCUGCAGCUGGGAGGGGAGCUGUCCAGGAGGCCGGCCUGGGAAUGAGCACAGGCCUGCGGCUGGCAGAGAGCCGGGUCGAGCCAGCCCUGGAGAAGCAGGCCCAGCUGGAGGAGCAGCUGCGGGACAAGGUGCUCCACGAGAAGGACCUGUCCCAGCAGCAGAUGCAAAGCGACCUGGACAAGGCUGACCUCAGUGCCAGGAGGGUCCCUGGUGGGUGCUGCAUGAGGCAGGCGUCACUGCAGAAGAGUGACAGAGCUGGGCCUGGCAGUGAAGCGUCUACAGAAGCAGAAUCUGGAGAAGGAUCAGGUCGACAAGGACCUCACCGAGAAGCUUGAGGCCCUGGAAUCCCUGCGGCUACAGGAGCAGGCGGCCCUGGAGACAGAGGAUGGAGAGGGGCUACAGCGGAGCCUAAGGGACCUGGCACAGGCCGUCCUGUCUGACGCUGAGAGCGGCAGCCUGCGUCCAACAGCGUCCGACCGCAGCCUGCGGGGGCUCUCGGGCCAGCGGACCCCGUCUCCACCGCGGCGCUCCUCGCCGGGCCGAGGCCGUUCGCCCCGCAGAGGCCCCUCCCCGGCCUGCUCAGAAGACUCCACGCUCGCUUGCCCUGAUUCUCUCCGCCCUGCACUUUUGCCAGCUGAAGGUCCAGGUAGGAAGGGGCUUGAGUUUUCUGGGCGCAGCCAGAGGCCCAGGGGGAGGGGCUCGCGCCCUCCAGGUGGGGGUGGGGGCGUGUCUGGGGGAGGAGUCUGAGCGCCCUGGGGUGCAGCCAGAGCCCUGAGAAAUAGUGUCUGAGGGUGUCAGGACCCCCAAGGAGGUGGUCGAGGGCUCUGCGCUGAAGCCAGCCCAGAAGUGGGGGUGCUUGGGCAGCUGGGGGUGGGUGCUUGGGCAGCCGGUGGAGGGAGGAGGCUGCGACAGUGUUAGGGUCCUGGUAGAGAGGGAGACAGGUCCCUGGUCAUACAGAGCCAGGACCCUGGGAAAAGGUCUAGCAAGGGAAAUCACAGCCUAGGAUGAGAGCUUGGGAACUAGGGGCAGAGCCAGGGUAGGGAGGAGUGUGAGAGUGGAACCAGGAUGCAAGGGGGAGGAGCCUGGGAGCCCUGGGGGUGGGAUCAGAACCCAGGAGACGAGUGUGCCUGGGAGUUUGUCUGGCAUCCCGGGGGCUUUGAUAGGAGUUGUCCGGGACCCCAGGGAGAUGAGGGUUCAGAGGGUGGUGAGGGCACAUAGGAGGGGAGUGGAAGCCUGGCUCUCAGGCCUAGGCCCCUAUCCUGCCCCAGGGCAGGUCCAGGCCCUGGACCCCGCCUAGCGUAGGCUAGUGUGUAUCCCUGGAACCAGAAGAGAGUAGGUGGGCUCUGGAGGCCUCAAAGGACCCCCGCUAGACUCUGUGAUCCCCACGCCCCAGAACAUGCGUGGGCGCUAUGAGGCAAGCCAGGACCUGCUGGGCACCCUGCGGAAGCAGCUUAGCGACAGCGAGAGUGAGCGGCGGGCCCUAGAGGAACACCUGCGUGGCGCCGUCGGUCUUGUCCCGCAGGCACUGGCCAACAUGGCGAAACCCCAUCUCUACUAAAAAUUUAAAAAAUUGCCCAGGCACAGUGGCUAACGCCUGUAAUCCCAGCACUUUGGGAGGCCGAGGCGUGCAGAUCACUUGAGGUCAGGAAUUUGAGACCAGCCUGGCCAACAUGGUGAAACCCCACUUCUAAAUAAAAAUGCAAAAAUUAGCUGGGCGUGGUGAUAGGCGCUUGUAAUCCCAGCUACUCGGGAGGCUGAGGCAGGAGAAUCGCUUGAACUCUGGAGGUGGAGAUUGCAGCAAGCUGUGUGGAGUGCAGUGAGAUUGUGUCACUGCACUCCAGCCUAGGCAAGAGUGAGACUGUGUGU